RNAcentral lists this ribosomal RNA (497 nucleotides) under uncultured bacterium. Its description in RNAcentral is "partial 16S ribosomal RNA". It matches the Rfam family "Bacterial small subunit ribosomal RNA", at positions 28 to 507 of the family's 1533-position model. The record is from RNAcentral.
GACGAACGCUGGCGGCGUGCCUAAUACAUGCAAGUUGAGCGCUGAAGGUUGGUACUUGUACCAACUGGAUGAGCAGCGAACGGGUGAGUAACGCGUGGGGAAUCUGCCUUUGAGCGGGGGACAACAUUUGGAAACGAAUGCUAAUACCGCAUAAAAACUUUAAACACAAGUUUUAAGUUUGAAAGAUGCAAUUGCAUCACUCAAAGAUGAUCCCGCGUUGUAUUAGCUAGUUGGUGAGGUAAAGGCUCACCAAGGCGAUGAUACAUAGCCGACCUGAGAGGGUGAUCGGCCACAUUGGGACUGAGACACGGCCCAAACUCCUACGGGAGGCAGCAGUAGGGAAUCUUCGGCAAUGGACGAAAGUCUGACCGAGCAACGCCGCGGGAGGGAAGAAGGUUGUCGGAUCGUAAAACUCUGUUGGUAGAGAAGAACGUUGGUGAGAGUGGAAAGCUCAUCAAGUGACGGUAACUACCCAGAAAGGGACGGCUAACUACGUG